CAGUAGGCCGCGGUAAUACGUAGGGUGCAAGCGUUAAUCGAAAUUACUGGGCGUAAAGCGUGCGCAGGCGGUCCGCUAAGACAGAUGUGAAAUCCCCGGGCUUAACCUGGGAACUGCAUUUGUGACUGGCGGGCUAGAGUAUGGCAGAGGGGGGUGGAAUUCCGCGUGUAGCAGUGAAAUGCGUAGAUAUGCGGAGGAACACCGAUGGCGAAGGCAGCCCCCUGGGCCAAUACUGACGCUCAUGCACGAAGGCGUGGGGAGCAAACAGGAUUAGAGACCCGCGUAGUCCCUGUCUCUUAUU
Molecule: ribosomal RNA, 301 nt
Filed under: uncultured bacterium
Lineage: Bacteria
Description: partial 16S ribosomal RNA
Rfam family: Bacterial small subunit ribosomal RNA
Source: RNAcentral